GGAAGGAUCAUUAACGCUAAUCCAACAACCUAAACCAAGCCUUAAGUUGCAGCAUUGGAUCAAGCUAGCGAAAGCAGGCUAAUUCUUUGCAGCAUCUAACAAAACUAAACAAAAGGAGUUUAACUAAGCUCUUACACUAAAACCAAAUUUUCAACGAUGGAUAUCUUGGUUCCCAUAACGAUGAAGAACGCAGCGAAGUGCGAUAAGCAGUGCGAAUUGCAGAACCGUGAGUCAUCAGAUUUUUGAACGCAAUUGGCGCCAGUUGGCAAUCCAGCUGGCAUGCUUGUUUCAGUGUCUUGUUUUCUCCUCACCCAAAUCUUAAUGUGAGAGAUACCCUUCUCUUGCUAAGUAUGAAAGCACUCUGUACUUUGCAGGCAAUCUUGACUUGUCAAGGGUUGCACUCAAUGCAGCAGUCACAUUCACAUGUGAACUCAUUGAGAGUAGAGACAGUGCAGCUAGUCUGCUAGUGCUUAGAUCUCUAAACUUUACUUGCAUCUGAAAUCAAGCAGGAUCACCCGCUGAACUUAAGCAUAUCACUAAGCGGAGGAAAAGAAAUUAACUAAGAUUGCCCCAGUAACGGCGAGUGAAGCGGCAAAAGCCCAAAAUGGUAAUCUUCACACUUCGUGUGACGAAUUGUAAUCUAAAGGUGGAGCACUCAAUUAGUGGAGACGCAGAAGUGCCCUAGAAUGGGCCGCCAGAGAGGGUGACAGCCCCGUAUGUGGUGUCUCUACUUAACGAGUGUCCUUCGAAGAGUCGGGUUGUUUUGAAUUGCAGCCCUAAGCGGGAGAUAGACUUCUUCUAAGGCUAAAUAUAUAUGGGAAACCGAUAGCGAACAAGUACUGUGAAGGAAAGAUGAAAAGAACUUUGAAAAGAGAGUCAAAAGACUUGAAAUCGUUGUGAAGGAAGCGGUAGAAAUUUAUUCUUCAGUUGUGAACAAAGGUUUUUGCCUAACCAUUGGGGCUCUGAGCACUUAAAAGGCUCUCUGUUUCACUUGGGGAAGUGAUUGCUGAGUUCUAGGCUGUGAGGCAAAAUGGGUUUCCACAUCCACAAAAGCUUGGUUAACCUGAUCCGGUUCGCUGGAUAGUUCUCCUUUGCUCGUGGGCGUGCAGACUGAGGAUGCUUUGUGCGAUUUUGCUAAAAUGGUUUUUUACCGACCCGUCUCGAAACACGGACCAAGGAGUCUAACAAAUAUGCGAGUGUGCUGGUGGAAAAACCAACAUGCGUAAUGAAGGUGAUUGAUGCCAAGCGCAAGCAGCAGCAUCGACCGACCAUGAUCCUCCGGUGAAAGGUUUGAGUAUGAGCAUAUCUGUUAGGACCCGAAAGAUGGUGAACUAUGCCUGGGUAGGGUGAAGCCAGGGGAAACUCUGGUGGAGGCUCGUAGCGGUUCUGACGUGCAAAUCGAUCGUCAAACUUGGGUAUAGGGGCGAAAGACUAAUCGAACCAUCUAGUAGCUGGUUCCCUCCGAAGUUUCCCCAGGAUAUACGUAUAUAGACGCUACCGCUAAAUAUUGGCGAGAGACCGAUAGCGAACAAGUACCGUGAGGGAAAGAUGAAAAGAACUUUGAAAAGAGAGUUAAACAGUGCGUGAAAUUGUUGAAAGGGAAACGUUUGACACCAGUUAUGCGGGUGGAAAAUCAGUCUUUUGCAAUGGGGAGUUGUGGGCGUUCAGACCGCAAGGCUGGCGUUUGCUUCAUCUUUGUUGUAAGUGAUGCACUUUUUCAUUUGCAGGUCAACAUCAGUUUGCUUUGCUGGACAAAACCCCAAGGGAAGGUGGCAGCUUAGGCUGUGUUAUAGCCCUGGGGCGAUACAGUGGAGUGGACUGAGGUUUCGCAGUGUGUGCUCUCGGGCAAGGCUGACUGGGUGCUAUGGGAUCGUUCGGCGUACAAUGCAUGCAUUUUGCGUCGUGUCUUUUUCAUACUCGCUCAACUCGGCUCUUCCACACUUAGGAUGUUGACUUAAUGGUUUUAAACGACCCGUCUUGAAACACGGACCAAGGAGUCUAACAUAUAUGCAAGUGUUUGGGUGGCAAACCCAUGCGCGUAAUGAAAGUGAACGUAGGUGCGAUCCGCAAGGUGCAGCAUCGACCGAUCUUGAUAUUUUUGGAUAGAUUUGAGUAAGAGCAUAUAUGCUGGGACCCGAAAGAUGGUGAACUAUGCCUGAAUAGGGUGAAGCCAGAGGAAACUCUGGUGGAGGCUCGUAGCGAUUCUGACGUGCAAAUCGAUCGUCAAAUUUGGGUAUAGGGGCGAAAGACUAAUCGAACCAUCUAGUAGCUGGUUCCUGC
This 2280-nucleotide unclassified non-coding RNA is filed under the name uncultured fungus. Its description in RNAcentral is "sequence contains 18S rRNA gene, ITS1, 5.8S rRNA gene, ITS2, 28S rRNA gene". The stretch from base 492 to 2280 matches the Rfam family "Eukaryotic large subunit ribosomal RNA", at positions 1 to 961 of the family's 3401-position model. The record is from RNAcentral. Lineage: Eukaryota; Fungi.